Molecule: long non-coding RNA, 1855 nt
Organism: Brassica napus (rape)
Lineage: Eukaryota; Viridiplantae; Streptophyta; Magnoliopsida; Brassicales; Brassicaceae
Exons: 2
Source: RefSeq, a predicted model, not a curated record
CUCUAACUCAGCAGUUAUAACUAUGACGAAUCCACAGGUUCUUUCCGGUGAGUUGAAGGCAAGCCGGCAUCGUAAGACUGUUGUCACCCAUGUUUUACGUUCCUGGGAAGCAAGGAAUGUCAAGAAGGGGGGUGAUCUUAUGGGUGUGUACUUGGUUUUGCUUGAUGAAAAGGAUCACAUACUCAGGACACAUAUGCUGAGAAAGCCCAUGAGAGACCACUGCCAGAAUUCCUAGACGAGUUAAUGGGAAGAACCUUCAGGUGACGCUAUAUGAGUUCAACUUCACAACAAAGCUCAUCUUUGACCCUAAAUUAUUUGUCUAAAACACUAUGUGAUAAAUGAGGCCUUGGUUACACCCUGACUAUCUCACUAUCCACCCUACAAUAGAUGAUAGGGGAAGAAGAGAUAAAGUAAAUGUUGCGUUAUUUAGUUAUUGAUGGUCACGUCCUCUUCUCAUAAACAAAAACUCACAGUUCACCGAUUCACAUGUUUCAGGCUAGCUUGCCCGUCAAAUUAGGAAGGAACAUCGGCGUAUAAGACAGCAUUACCGAGUUGACCAAGGCCCAUUUUCUCUUAAAUAAUCAUUACACUUAUUUCCUGAGAGAACACAUUCUAAACACCACAUAACCAUUUACUUUUUUUUUGUUAUUCAGAUAUGGGAAUUCAGCCACAUAACCAACACGAACAAGUCAUCACUCAAUCUGAUAACGAAAGUAAGAAAACAGUAUUCUCAACCUCUCUCCCCAACACAACGUCCUGCUGCAUUUAUACGCCUGUCCGGAGCACUCUAAAUUCCACUUUGUUGUUAUCUCAGGCUUACUACCAGCCUUCCAGGCUACACCUUUGGCUUCUACUGACAACAUGAACACAAGCAACACCGCACUGUACACCUUCAGCUUCAUGUCACGUGUUGCAGAAGCCUUACGCUGCGAUCUAAGCUAAUGUAUACACAAGGUGAUAAGAAAUCAUUAAAAUCGAUGUGUUUACAGAAAGCUUGAACCUGAUGGAGCUAGCCAAACAUCAAAUACGCGGACAACCAGGCAGAAAAGUUCAUUUAUGAAGACAUGCCUCAUCCACAACAAACCUGGAGCUCAGUACAUUGUAGGCAUGGACGAGUACUUUCUGUAUAAAAACAUCGACAAGGCUCAGAGCAGGACUUAGAAAAUUUAGGGGGUUCUAUUAACAAAAACCAGACACUUUUCAAGAAUAUAAUGAAUAAAAAUCUUUAUUUCAAAUCAUAAUUUUCAAUUUUUCAAAGUAUACAAAUUAUUUAUAUCUAUUCUAGAACAAUAUGACAUUCUCCUAAUGUUUCUAUUUUUAUUUUACAAAUAAAUUAUUUUAAUUAAUUAUUUUAUUUUAUAUUUUGAUAUUUUAUACAUCAUUAUAUCAAAAUACAUGUAUCUACAUAUAAAAUAAAUUAUAAACUAUAAUAAAUUAAAAGUUUAAACAAAAAAAGAAAUUAAAUUUUUUCUUUUAUUUCUUUUUUCAAUAUUAAUAAUUAUAGGGUAAAAAAAAUUGCAUUGGGCAAAUCAUAGUAUUUAACCCCUGCGCUAUAUUUAACCAGACCUGCGCAACAUAUCUCUACGGUCUUCUCAUGCUCUGCACUGGAAAGAUUAACGAAGAGAACACUUAUUUGGAUAGACUUGGCUGGGAGGAGAACAAACAAAAAUCAGAUGUGCUUGAUGGGAAUACACACGUAUUAUACUCCGAAUUAAAAGAAAACACAAAAACUAUGUAUCCAAUACGAACAACCAUAAAAAAACAAUGCAAGAAGUGUUAUUAAUACAUACAAAUGAGGAGAUCCUUGCUAUCGUUUAGAUUGGCUGGAGAUAAGAUAUGAGGGUUACACAUGCCA